Molecule: transfer RNA, 64 nt
Filed under: Rhinebothrium sp. 1
Lineage: Eukaryota; Metazoa; Platyhelminthes; Cestoda; Rhinebothriidea; Rhinebothriidae
Description: tRNA-Leu
Source: RNAcentral
GUGGCUAUGACAGAAUUAUAUGUGUUAGCUUUAAGCGCUAAUUAUGGGUUCAUCCCUAGUCACU